This 802-nucleotide ribosomal RNA is filed under the name Campylobacter jejuni. RNAcentral's name for it is "bacterial LSU rRNA". It matches the Rfam family "Bacterial large subunit ribosomal RNA", at positions 1132 to 1918 of the family's 2925-position model. Lineage: Bacteria; Pseudomonadati; Campylobacterota; Epsilonproteobacteria; Campylobacterales; Campylobacteraceae. The record is from RNAcentral.
GCGUAAUAGCUCACUGGUCUAGUGAUUUUGCGCGGAAAAUAUAACGGGGCUAAAGUAAGUACCGAAGCUGUAGACUUAGUUUACUAAGUGGUAGGAGAGCGUUCUAUUUGCGUCGAAGGUAUACCGGUAAGGAGUGCUGGAGCGAAUAGAAGUGAGCAUGCAGGCAUGAGUAGCGAUAAUUAAUGUGAGAAUCAUUAACNCCGUAAACCCAAGGUUUCCUACNCNAUNCUCGUCAUCGUAGGGUUAGUCGNGUCCUAAGUCGAGUCCGAAAGGGGUAGACGAUGGCAAAUUGGUUAAUAUUCCAAUACCAACAUUAGUNUGCGAUGGAAGGACGCUUAGGGCUAAGGGGGCUAGCGGAUGGAAGUGCUAGUCUAAGGUCGUAGGAGGUUAUACAGGAAAAUCCGUAUAACAAUACUCCGAGAACUGAAAGGCUUUUUGAAGUCUUCGGAUGGAUAGAAGAACCCCUGAUNCCGUCGAGCCAAGAAAAGUUUCUAAGUUUAGCUAAUGUUNCCCGUACCGUAAACCGACACAGGUGGGUGGGAUGAGUAUUCUAAGGCNCNUNGAAGAACUCUCUUUAAGGAACUCUGCAAAAUAGCACCGUAUCUUCGGUAUAAGGUGUGGUUAGCUUUGUAUUAGGAUUUACUCCGAAAGCGAAGAAACUUACAACAAAGAGUCCCUCCCGACUGUUUACCAAAAACACAGCACUCUGCUAACUCGUAAGAGGAUGUAUAGGGUGUGACGCCUGCCCGGUGCUCGAAGGUUAAUUGAUGGGGUUAGCAUUAGCGAAGCUCUUGAUCGAAGC